This 231-nucleotide unclassified non-coding RNA is filed under the name Hevea brasiliensis (rubber tree). The record is from RNAcentral. Lineage: Eukaryota; Viridiplantae; Streptophyta; Magnoliopsida; Malpighiales; Euphorbiaceae.
GUUUUUUGCACCUAGAUAACGCAGGAAUUCAGUAUACGAUGCAAAAUCAUCCUCACUAUCUGGCAAGAAAAAUACAAUGUCAAAUCCUGUGGCUUCAGCAUAAUGUUUAGUGAGCUGAUCCAGCCCAGUUCUUGCUGAACAAUUGACUACUUCCGGAAGCUCACUUCCUAUUCCUUCACCAAUUGGGACACAACGAGCAUGACAAACAGGUGUUCCUCCCUUGGCAAUUAU